RNAcentral lists this small nuclear RNA (128 nucleotides) under Zalophus californianus (California sea lion). Its description in RNAcentral is "U1 spliceosomal RNA (ENSZCAG00015016779.1)". It matches the Rfam family "U1 spliceosomal RNA", at positions 1 to 148 of the family's 166-position model. Rfam says of the family: U1 is a small nuclear RNA (snRNA) component of the spliceosome (involved in pre-mRNA splicing). Lineage: Eukaryota; Metazoa; Chordata; Mammalia; Carnivora; Otariidae. The record is from RNAcentral.
AAACAUGGGGCAGGGAGAAGCCAUGAUCAUGAGGGUGGUUCUCCUGGGGGAGCUUGUCCAUUGCACUUGGGCCAUUCUGAUGCCUGCUAUUUGAACUCAAUGGCACACUUUCUCUCAGUGGGGAAUUG